GGGGGGAUAGCUCAGUUGGGAAGAUCUGAGCUUGGUUCACCUUCGGUUUUAUCCGAAAGGUCGUAGGUUCGAAUCCCGCUCCCCUCU
This is a non-coding RNA of Neurospora tetraspora, 87 nucleotides long. The record is from the annotation of a RefSeq genome assembly. Lineage: Eukaryota; Fungi; Ascomycota; Sordariomycetes; Sordariales; Sordariaceae.